This 1543-nucleotide ribosomal RNA is filed under the name Blattabacterium punctulatus. RNAcentral describes it as "bacterial SSU rRNA". It matches the Rfam family "Bacterial small subunit ribosomal RNA". The record is from RNAcentral. Lineage: Bacteria; Pseudomonadati; Bacteroidota; Flavobacteriia; Flavobacteriales; Blattabacteriaceae.
UUUUUACAACGAAGAGUUUGAUCCUGGCUCAGGAUGAACGCUAGCGGCGGGCUUAACACAUGCAAGUCGAGGGGCAGCAUGAAAUUUAUUUAUUUAGAUUUUGAUGGCGACCGGCGGACGGGUGCGUAACACGUAUGUAACCUACCUUUUUCUAGAAAAUAGCCUGAGGAAACUCGGAUUAAUAUUCUAUAAUACAGUAUUUUCGCAUGAAAAUAUUAUUAAAGCAGAAAUGCGGAAAAAGAUGGGCAUGCGCCCGAUUAGUUAGUUGGUGGGGUAAAGGCCUACCAAGACGAUGAUCGGUAGGGGGCCUGAGAGGGUGAUCCCCCACACUGGUACUGAGAUACGGACCAGACUCCUACGGGAGGCAGCAGUGAGGAAUAUUGGUCAAUGGAGGAAACUCUGAACCAGCCACGCCGCGUGCAGGAAGAAUGCCUUAUGGGUUGUAAACUGCUUUUGUUUAGGAAUAAAAAUUUCUACGUGAUAGAAAUUGUGAAGGUACUAGACGAAUAAGUGUCGGCAAACUCCGUGCCAGCAGCCGCGGUAAUACGGAGGACACAAGCGUUAUCCGGAUUUAUUGGGUUUAAAGAGUGCGUAGGCGGUUUAUUAAGUCAGUAGUGAAAUGUUACAGCUUAACUGUUAAAAUGGCUAAUGAUACUGAUAGACUUGAGUGAGAUUGGAGUAACUGGAAUGUGUGGUGUAGCGGUGAAAUGCAUAGAGAUCACACAGAACACCGAUCGCGAAAGCAGGUUACUAAAUCUAUACUGACGCUGAGGUACGAAAGCGUGGGGAGCAAACAGGAUUAGAUACCCUGGUAGUCCACGCCGUAAACGAUGAUCACUAGUCGUUGGAUUUUAUUAUUCAGUGGCUAAGCGAAAGUGAUAAGUGAUCCACCUGGGGAGUACGAUCGCAAGGUUGAAACUCAAAGGAAUUGACGGGGGCCCGCACAAGCGGUGGAGCAUGUGGUUUAAUUCGAUGAUACGCGAGGAACCUUACCAAGGUUUAAAUGUACUACGAAUAAGCUAGAAAUAGUUUAGUCUUCGGACGGAGUACAAGAUGCUGCAUGGUUGUCGUCAGCUCGUGCCGUGAGGUGUUGGGUUAAGUCCCUCAACGAGCGCAACCCUCAUUGUUAGUUGCCAACGAAUAAUGUCGGGGACUCUAGCAAGACUGCCGACGUAAGUCGAGAGGAAGGUGGGGACGACGUCAAAUCAUCACGGCUCUUAUACCUUGGGCUACACACGUGCUACAAUGGUCGGUACAAAGGGUUGCUAUUGAGUAAUCAUAAGCUAAUCUCUAAAAACCGAUCUCAGUUCGGAUUGGAGUCUGCAACUCGACUCUAUGAAGUUGGAAUCGCUAGUAAUCGCAUAUCAGCCAUGAUGCGGUGAAUACGUUCCCGGGCCUUGUACACACCGCCCGUCAAGCCAUGGAAGUCGGGGGGACCUGAAAUUGGUGACCAUAAAAGGAACUGCUUAAGGUAAAAUCGAUAACUGGGGCUAAGUCGUAACAAGGUAGCCGUACCGGAAGGUGUGGCUGGAACAUCUCUUUU